GACGAACGCUGGCGGCGUGCCUAAUACAUGCAAGUUGAGCGAUGAAGAUUGGUGCUUGCACCAAUUUGAAGAGCAGCGAACGGGUGAGUAACGCGUGGGGAAUCUGCCUUUGAGCGGGGGACAACAUUUGGAAACGAAUGCUAAUACCGCAUAACAACUUUAAACAUAAGUUUUAAGUUUGAAAGAUGCAAUUGCAUCACUCAAAGAUGAUCCCGCGUUGUAUUAGCUAGUUGGUGAGGUAAAGGCUCACCAAGGCGAUGAUACAUAGCCGACCUGAGAGGGUGAUCGGCCACAUGGGGACUGAGACACGGCCCAAACUCCUACGGGAGGCAGCAGUAGGGAAUCUUCGGCAAUGGACGAAAGUCUGACCGAGCAACGCCGCGUGAGUGAAGAAGGUUUUCGGAUCGUAAAACUCUGUUGGUAGAGAAGAACGUUGGUGAGAGUGGAAAGCUCAUCAAGUGACGGUAACUACCCAGAAAGGGACGGCUAACUACGUG
RNAcentral lists this ribosomal RNA (497 nucleotides) under uncultured bacterium. RNAcentral's name for it is "partial 16S ribosomal RNA". It matches the Rfam family "Bacterial small subunit ribosomal RNA", at positions 28 to 507 of the family's 1533-position model. The record is from RNAcentral.